CCUACGGGGGGCUGCAGUGGGGAAUAUUGGACAAUGGGGGGAACCCUGAUCCAGCCAUGCCGCGUGUGUGAAGAAGGCCCUCGGGUUGUAAAGCACUUUCAGUGAGGAAGAACGCCUGGUGGUUAAUACCCAUCAGGAAAGACAUCAUUCACAGAAGAAGCACCGGCUAACUCCGUGCCAGCAGCCGCGGUAAUACGGAGGGUGCGAGCGUUAAUCGGAAUUACUGGGCGUAAAGCGCGCGUAGGUGGCUUGAUAAGCCGGUUGUGAAAGCCCCGGGCUCAACCUGGGAACGGCAUCCGGAACUGUCAAGCUAGAGUGCAGGAGAGGAAGGUAGAAUUCCCGGUGUAGCGGUGAAAUGCGUAGAGAUCGGGAGGAAUACCAGUGGCGAAGGCGGCCUUCUGGACUGACACUGACACUGAGGUGCGAAAGCGUGGGUAGCAAACAGGAUUAGAUACCCCAGUAGUC
RNAcentral lists this ribosomal RNA (465 nucleotides) under Vreelandella stevensii. Its description in RNAcentral is "partial 16S ribosomal RNA". It matches the Rfam family "Bacterial small subunit ribosomal RNA", at positions 338 to 795 of the family's 1533-position model. The record is from RNAcentral. Lineage: Bacteria; Pseudomonadati; Pseudomonadota; Gammaproteobacteria; Oceanospirillales; Halomonadaceae.